Molecule: ribosomal RNA, 463 nt
Filed under: uncultured Thiobacillus sp.
Lineage: Bacteria; Pseudomonadati; Pseudomonadota; Betaproteobacteria; Nitrosomonadales; Thiobacillaceae
Description: bacterial SSU rRNA
Rfam family: Bacterial small subunit ribosomal RNA
Source: RNAcentral
ACGGGGACCCGCACAAGCGGUGGAUGAUGUGGAUUAAUUCGAUGCAACGCGAAGAACCUUACUACCCUUGACAUGUCCGGAACUUGCCAGAGAUGGCUUGGUGCCGAAAGGGAAUCGGAACACAGGUGCUGCAUGGCUGUCGUCAGCUCGUGUCGUGAGAUGUUGGGUUAAGUCCCGCAACGAGCGCAACCCUUAUCAUUAGUUGCUACGCAAGGGCACUCUAAUGAGACUGCCGGUGACAAACCGGAGGAAGGUGGGGAUGACGUCAAGUCCUCAUGGCCCUUAUGGGUAGGGCUUCACACGUCAUACAAUGGUCGGUACAGAGGGUUGCCAAGCCGCGAGGCGGAGCCAAUCCCACAAAGCCGAUCGUAGUCCGGAUUGUUCUCUGCAACUCGAGAGCAUGAAGUCGGAAUCGCUAGUAAUCGCAGGUCAGCAUACUGCGGUGAAUACGUUCCCGGGUCUU